Molecule: ribosomal RNA, 759 nt
Filed under: uncultured Porphyromonas sp.
Lineage: Bacteria; Pseudomonadati; Bacteroidota; Bacteroidia; Bacteroidales; Porphyromonadaceae
Description: bacterial SSU rRNA
Rfam family: Bacterial small subunit ribosomal RNA
Source: RNAcentral
GAUGAACGCUAGCGAUAGGCUUAACACAUGCAAGUCGAGGGGCAGCAUGGUCUUAGCUUGCUAAGACUGAUGGCGACCGGCGCACGGGUGCGUAACGCGUAUGCAACUUGCCUCACAGAGGGGGAUAACCCGUCGAAAGACGGACUAAUACCGCGUACACUCCACUUUGGGCAUCCAAUGUAGAGGAAAUGAAAUUCGCUGUGAGAUAGGCAUGCGUCCCAUUAGCUAGUUGGUGAGGUAACGGCUCACCAAGGCGACGAUGGGUAGGGGAACUGAGAGGUUGAACCCCCACACUGGUACUGAGACACGGACCAGACUCCUACGGGAGGCAGCAGUGAGGAAUAUUGGUCAAUGGGCGAGAGCCUGAACCAGCCAAGUCGCGUGAAGGAUGGCUGUCUUAUGGAUUGUAAACUUCUUUUAUACGGGAAUAACAAGAGCCACGUGUGGCUCCCUGCAUGUACCGUAUGAAUAAGCAUCGGCUAACUCCGUGCCAGCAGCCGCGGUAAUACGGAGGAUGCGAGCGUUAUCCGGAUUUAUUGGGUUUAAAGGGUGCGUAGGCGGCCUGUUAAGUCAGCGGUGAAAUCUAGGAGCUUAACUCCUAAAUUGCCAUUGAUACUGGCGGGCUUGAGUGUAGAUGAGGUAGGCGGAAUGCGUGGUGUAGCGGUGGAAUGCAUAGAUAUCACGCAGAACUCCGAUUGCGAAGGCAGCUUACUAAGGUACAACUGACGCUGAAGCACGAAAGCGUGGGUAUCAAACAGG